GUACACGCUGUGACUAGCAUAUCAAUAAGCGGAGGAAAAGAAACUAACAAGGAUUCCCCUAGUAACGGCGAGUGAAGCGGGAAGAGCUCAAAUUUGAAAUCUUAAAGGGUUUCCCUUUACGAAUUGUAGUUUAAAGAAGCGUUUUCUGUUGAGGUUUUGGUAAAAGUUCUUUGGAAUAGGACAUCAUAGAGGGUGAGAAUCCCGUAUUUGACCUUUACUUUCAAACUUUGUGAUACACUUUCAAAGAGUCGGAUUGUUUGGGAAUGCAGUCCAAAAUGGGUGGUAAAUUUCAUCUAAAGCUAAAUAUUGGCGAGAGACCGAUAGCGAACAAGUACCGUGAGGGAAAGAUGAAAAGAACUUUGAAAAGAGAGUUAAACAGUACGUGAAAUUGUCAAGAGGGAAGCGCUUUGACACCAGUGUUGUUUUUCUGAAAAUCAAUUAAAGAACUGUUUAUGCUAAGUUGUUUAGACUUUAUCAGCUAACUGUUUAGUUUUGAGCUUUUCUUUAAUGCACUUUUCAGUUAACAAGUCAACAUCAAUUUCUUUUGCUGUAAAAAAGCUUGAGGAAGGUGGCUUGAGAUUCGUCUUAAGUGUUUAUAGCCUCUUGCCUAUGCAGUCGGAGAGAUUGAGGUCUGCAGCGUAGAUCCUUCGGGGCUAAAUGCAUUUGUGCUAAGUUAUAGCAUUUUAUAGACAACUUGUUGACUAUGAUUUGUCUUGUAGCUUACUCGCUUAUGUUAUUUUACCUACGCUUAGGAUGUUGAGUCGUAGAGCACGCAG
This 776-nucleotide ribosomal RNA is filed under the name uncultured Neocallimastigales. RNAcentral describes it as "partial large subunit ribosomal RNA". It matches the Rfam family "Eukaryotic large subunit ribosomal RNA", at positions 22 to 644 of the family's 3401-position model. Lineage: Eukaryota; Fungi; Neocallimastigomycota; Neocallimastigomycetes; Neocallimastigales. The record is from RNAcentral.